Leptidea sinapis is the source of this 907-nucleotide long non-coding RNA. RefSeq lists it as uncharacterized. The record is from RefSeq and is a predicted model, not a curated record. The transcript is spliced from 5 exons. Lineage: Eukaryota; Metazoa; Arthropoda; Insecta; Lepidoptera; Pieridae.
CCUUACCAUACAGUACAUUGUUGUGUCUAGAAGUAGAUGACCAAAUUGUACCUAUUGAUAAAUGUGAAUUAUAUUAAAUUUUCAAUAUUUUUGAAACAAUGGCUAAUAGCAGUAUACAUUUUAUUAUUAUAGUAUUGUUGGUGUCAUAUGUGUGCAAUUCUAUAGGCUACGAUGAAGAUUCUACGAGCUUAGAAAAUCAGUCUAGAAUAUUGUCAAGAAGAAAGAGAUACUUAACAUUUCCUGAUGGAAGCUCAUUUCAGCUAAUUUUUUGCACGCAAAACCACGGCUAUCUUCAAAUAGGCGAUAUUGUGUGGUUUGGCAACACUGCAGCGUUAGCUUGGGAACUACCCACGGAUCCGAAGUACUUUAAGAUAUUUAAAGAACACGAGAAAGAUAUCAUUCAGAAUAGAAAUGGUAUUUCUAAAAGUAUAUACUAUCUUGACGAAUAUGGGAAAGUCUUGAGUAAAAUACCUUAUCAUACGAGGUUUUUGGUUAACCCAGCAAUGGCCAAACGAAGCUCUGACAUCUAUAUGGGUGAAAUUAUUACUCCCAAAUUAAUCAAGAAUUUACACAAAAGACAUAUGAACUUUACUUUCGACGACUCAAAUAUUGAUUUCCAUAGAGACGGAAGAAUGGAUUUCUAUAAAAAAUUGGAAAGCUUUUUCAGAGCACUAGGUGUCAAUGGUAAGGAAUGUGUUUUUCGAUUGCUUUGUGAGACUAGUCAAGGCAGUGAGCACCAAGGAUCGUUUGUCGAGGAAAUCAUGAGAGUUACAUUUACGCUUCCUCCUCGAAAGGGAUCCGGAUCUAAGUUGGAUGAGUACGACGUGGCUCAUUCAACGAAAGAUGAUUGUUAUAAAUUGUACCCCAAAUGUGAUUUGUCUAAUUAAACAUAUUUUGUAUAGUAUAA